GCCGGCGUAGCUCAAUUGGCAGAGCAGCCGCCUUGUAAGCGGCAGGUUGUCGGUUCGAGUCCGACCGUCGGCU
This 73-nucleotide transfer RNA is filed under the name Ardenticatena maritima. RNAcentral describes it as "filamentous thermophilic bacterium 110S tRNA". It matches the Rfam family "tRNA". Rfam says of the family: Transfer RNA (tRNA) molecules are approximately 80 nucleotides in length. Lineage: Bacteria; Bacillati; Chloroflexota; Ardenticatenia; Ardenticatenales; Ardenticatenaceae. The record is from Rfam by way of RNAcentral. RNAcentral also lists the same sequence under 1 other name.